RNAcentral lists this ribosomal RNA (253 nucleotides) under uncultured bacterium. RNAcentral's name for it is "partial 16S ribosomal RNA". It matches the Rfam family "Bacterial small subunit ribosomal RNA", at positions 524 to 776 of the family's 1533-position model. The record is from RNAcentral.
UACGUAGGGAGCAAGCGUUGUCCGGAAUCAUUGGGCGUAAAGAGCGCGUAGGCGGAAGCUUAAGUGUGGCCUGAAAGCCCCCGGCUCAACCGGGGAAGGUGGCUGCAAACUGGGCUUCUUGAGGGGGAUAGGGGAAAGUGGAAUUCCGGGUGUAGCGGUGAAAUGCGUAGAGAUCCGGAGGAACACCAGUGGCGAAGGCGGCUUUCUGGGUCCGCCCUGACGCUGAGGCGCGAAAGCGUGGGGAGCGAACGGG